AUGGAGCCCCUCCCUGCCUGCCCUGGCACACUCCAGGUACACUGUGUCCCGGGAUGUGGGGUGGGGGUGGGGGGUGGAAACCUUGCAGACACCCCAGGAGACUGGGGUGUAGGAAAGGUCCCCACCCCCCAGGAAGAGUCCUGGUUUGGGCAGACAUCUGAGCUCCCGCCCUGCGGCUGUCAUCCUCACAAUGGCCCCACCAGACCCGAGGGGACAGAGGCCCAGAGGAGGAAGGAGAAGCCUUGUGGCUGGGUGGCAGGAUUCACCAAAUUUCUACUUCCAUCUGCAACUAACAGUUACGACCCCCCACCAUGCCAAGACCUCCAGAGGCCUCCCAGAGUGGUGGGAGAAGGGGACGAUCAACUUGUCUGGCGGGCCACACCUGCCGGGCUGGGUGAGGUGAAUGCCUCUCCCGAGUGGGCAGAGCCCAUUCAGGUCCGGCCGGGGCGUGGGGGGCGGCGCGAAACGCUAGAAUGGAGGGGCGAGAAGGCAGAGGGCUGCGCGAACCGGCCACGUGGAGGUCCAGAGCGACAAGCAGGGGAGGGAGCCGCGAGUAGGCCGUAAGCUCGCUCCUCCCGCUCGAGGGAGCCUCCGAGAGAGUUGAGUCGUCGCUGACCGCAGGCUGCAAGAGCGGUUGAUCUGGGAAAUUCCUCGCCUCUGGACCGCACCCGCCCUUGAACACCUCCCGGUCUCUUUGGGCAGAGCGCAAGCCAGACAGAGCUGGGGACAGUGAAGUGGCCAUCCUCAGCCCUGUGUGUGCCAGGAGCCCCCCUCCCGGGGGGUGGGGGGCGGGUGGCCCCGCUGCAGGAGGGCAGGGGCGGCAGAGGGAGCCUGGCGUGGGCGGCUGGGACAGAGUCCUUUUUGAAGGAGGUGGGGACCCCGUGAAGUACGUGACUUCUGAC
Long non-coding RNA from Bos taurus (domestic cattle), 902 nucleotides. The record is from Ensembl. Lineage: Eukaryota; Metazoa; Chordata; Mammalia; Artiodactyla; Bovidae.